Long non-coding RNA from Zalophus californianus (California sea lion), 720 nucleotides. RefSeq lists it as uncharacterized. Lineage: Eukaryota; Metazoa; Chordata; Mammalia; Carnivora; Otariidae. The transcript has 4 exons. The record is from RefSeq and is a predicted model, not a curated record.
GGACAGUGGAUGGCGGCUGAGGACAGGCUGUGUGAGAACAGAAUGGGAGAAAAGUCCUGCACUUUGCCGCUGCCAACCCGUCUCCUGGCCAGGAAUGUUGGCCGCUCCUGCUACCUGGUCGGCUGACCCCUGCCCAGAGGAAGCCCAGCCUUCGGUGCCCAGAAGAGCAUGUCUGCCUUCCCACACUUCCCUCCCGGCUCCCCUCCUUCUUGGAGCCCUCUUCAUUACUUAGAGAGAAACCCUCGGGGAGAAGCCAAGUGCCGAGGAGAGAGGCUGGUGACGCCCUACCCAAGAGACUGAGAGAGGCAGGAGGGCUGUGGACGGCCGCCAAAAAAGCAGGUUGGAGAGAGGCCUGGGGGCAGACGUGCCUGGAGGCAGGAGACGCCAUAGCUUGAGCAGAGCACAGCAAGACUCUAACCUGCCUUAUACUGAACGCUGAGCUUCUAUCAACGGGCCUGUGAUGAUAAGCUAACCAGCCUUCGCAGCUCGCUCUUGUUUCAUAGCCACAGGCAACUGAAACACUUUCUAUAGGAACAGCAAUGCCGGCUCUCUCCCAGCAUCUACCUCCACGACCAGUUGUUUCAAAUUUAAUCUCGGCAAUUUCGGUUCCUUCUUUCAGGCUAUUAAAAUCUGUGUGCCGGGGCGCCUGGGUGGCUCAGUCAUUAAGUGUCUGCCUUCGGCUUGGGUCAUGAUCCCAGGGUCCUGGGAUCAAGCCCCGCA